AUUGAACGCUGGCGGCAGGCUUAACACAUGCAAGUCGAACGGAAACGAUGCUAGCUUGCUAGCAGGCGUCGAGUGGCGGACGGGUGAGUAACGCGUAGGAAUCUAGCUAGUAGUGGGGGACAACAUGUGGAAACGCAUGCUAAUACCGCAUACGCCUUAUGAGGGAAAGGGUGCCUCUUCUUGAAAGCACUCGCUAUUAGAUGAGCCUGCGUCGGAUUAGCUUGAUGGUGGGGUAAUGGCCUACCAUGGCGACGAUCCGUAGCUGGUCUGAGAGGAUGAUCAGCCACACUGGAACUGAGACACGGUCCAG
This 310-nucleotide ribosomal RNA is filed under the name uncultured bacterium. RNAcentral describes it as "bacterial SSU rRNA". It matches the Rfam family "Bacterial small subunit ribosomal RNA", at positions 30 to 334 of the family's 1533-position model. The record is from RNAcentral.